ACGAACGCUGGCGGCGUGCCUAAUACAUGCCAGUAGAACGCUGAAGAGAGGAGCUUGCUCUUCUUGGAUGAGUUGCGAACGGGUGAGUAACGCGUAGGUAACCUGCCUUGUAGCGGGGGAUAACUAUUGGAAACGAUAGCUAAUACCGCAUAACAAUGGAUGACACAUGUCAUUUAUUUGAAAGGGGCAAUUGCUCCACUACAAGAUGGACCUGCGUUGUAUUAGCUAGUAGGUGAGGUAACGGCUCACCUAGGCGACGAUACAUAGCCGACCUGAGAAGGUGAUCGGCCACACUGGGACCUGGACACCGCCCAGGCUCCUACGGGAGGGAGCAGGAGGGAAUCUUCGGCAAUUGGGGCAACGCUGACCGAGCAACGCCGCGGUAGGGAAGAAGGUUUUCGGAUUGGAAAGCUCUGUUGUAAGUCAAGGACGAGUGUGAGAGUGGAAAGUUCACGCUGUGACGGUAGCUAACCAGAAAGGGACGGCUAACUACGUG
RNAcentral lists this ribosomal RNA (496 nucleotides) under uncultured bacterium. RNAcentral's name for it is "partial 16S ribosomal RNA". It matches the Rfam family "Bacterial small subunit ribosomal RNA", at positions 29 to 507 of the family's 1533-position model. The record is from RNAcentral.